UACGUAGGUGGCAAGCGUUGUCCGGAUUUAUUGGGCGUAAAGCGCGCGCAGGCGGUCCUUUAAGUCUGGUGUGAAAUCUUGCGGCUCAACCGCAAGCGGUCAUUGGAAACUGGGGGACUUGAGUACAGAAGAGGAAAGUGGAAUUCCACGUGUAGCGGUGAAAUGCGUAGAGAUGUGGAGGAACACCAGUGGCGAAGGCGACUUUCUGGUCUGUAACUGACGCUGAGGCGCGAAAGCGUGGGGAGCAAACAGG
RNAcentral lists this ribosomal RNA (253 nucleotides) under uncultured bacterium. Its description in RNAcentral is "partial 16S ribosomal RNA". It matches the Rfam family "Bacterial small subunit ribosomal RNA", at positions 524 to 776 of the family's 1533-position model. The record is from RNAcentral.